Molecule: ribosomal RNA, 331 nt
Filed under: uncultured bacterium
Lineage: Bacteria
Description: bacterial SSU rRNA
Rfam family: Bacterial small subunit ribosomal RNA
Source: RNAcentral
GAUGAACGCUAGCGGCAGGCCUAAUACAUGCAAGUCGAACGCUCAGUAGCAAUACUGGGAGUGGCGCACGGGUGCGUAACGCGUACACAAUCUACCUCUAAGCGGGGACACCUCCUGGAAACGGGGAUUAAUACCGCAUAAUAUGCCGAGGUCGCAUGACUUUGGUAUUAAAGCAGCAAUGCACUUAGAGAUGAGUGUGCGUCCCAUUAGGUAGUUGGUGAGGUAACGGCUCACCAAGCCUAUGAUGGGUAGCCGGUCUGAGAGGAUGGUCGGCCACACGGGCACUGAGACACGGGCCCGACUCCUACGGGAGGCUGCAGUAAGGAAUAUU